RNAcentral lists this ribosomal RNA (442 nucleotides) under uncultured Prevotella sp. RNAcentral describes it as "bacterial SSU rRNA". It matches the Rfam family "Bacterial small subunit ribosomal RNA", at positions 355 to 794 of the family's 1533-position model. The record is from RNAcentral. Lineage: Bacteria; Pseudomonadati; Bacteroidota; Bacteroidia; Bacteroidales; Prevotellaceae.
UGAGGAAUAUUGGUCAAUGGACGAGAGUCUGAACCAGCCAAGUAGCGUGCAGGACGACGGCCCUAUGGGUUGUAAACUGCUUUUGUACGGGGAUAAAGUGAGCCACGUGUGGUUUAUUGCAGGUACCGUACGAAUAAGGACCGGCUAAUUCCGUGCCAGCAGCCGCGGUAAUACGGAAGGUCCAGGCGUUAUCCGGAUUUAUUGGGUUUAAAGGGAGCGUAGGCCGCCCCUUAAGCGUGUUGUGAAAUGCCGCGGCUCAACCGUGGCACUGCAGCGCGAACUGAGGGGCUUGAGUGCACGCAACGCAGGCGGAAUUCGUGGUGUAGCGGUGAAAUGCUUAGAUAUGACGAAGAACUCCGAUUGCGAAGGCAGCUGACGGGAGCGUUACUGACGCUUAAGCUCGAAAGUGCGGGUAUCGAACAGGAUUAGAUACCCUGGUAGU